GGGUUGUGAGGUUAAGCGACUAAGCGUACACGGUGGAUGCCCUGGCAGUCAGAGGCGAUGAAGGACGUGCUAAUCUGCGAAAAGCGCCGGCGAGGUGAUAUGAACCUUUGACCCGGCGAUGUCCGAAUGGGGAAACCCAGUGCAAUCCGUUGCACUAUCGUUAACUGAAUACAUAGGUUAACGAGGCGAACCGGGGGAACUGAAACAUCUAAGUACCCCGAGGAAAAGAAAUCAACCGAGAUUCCCCCAGUAGCGGCGAGCGAACGGGGAGCAGCCCGGAGUCUGAAUCAGCUUGUGUGUUAGUGGAACGGUCUGGAAAGUCCGACGGUACAGGGUGAUAGUCCCGUACACGAAAGCACACAUGCUGUGAACUCGAAGAGUAGGGCGGGACACGUGGUAUCCUGUCUGAAUAUGGGGGGACCAUCCUCCAAGGCUAAAUACUCCUGACUGACCGAUAGUGAACCAGUACCGUGAGGGAAAGGCGAAAAGAACCCCGGCGAGGGGAGUGAAAAAGAACCUGAAACCGUGUACGUACAAGCAGUGGGAGCCUCUUUAUGGGGUGACUGCGUACCUUUUGUAUAAUGGGUCAGCGACUUAUAUUCUGUAGCAAGGUUAACCGUAUAGGGGAGCCGAAGGGAAACCGAGUCUUAACUGGGCGUUAAGUUGCAGGGUAUAGACCCGAAACCCGGUGAUCUAGCCAUGGGCAGGUUGAAGGUUGGGUAACACUAACUGGAGGACCGAACCGACUAAUGUUGAAAAAUUAGCGGAUGACCUGUGGCUGGGGGUGAAAGGCCAAUCAAACCGGGAGAUAGCUGGUUCUCCCCGAAAGCUAUUUAGGUAGCGCCUCGUGAACUCAUCUUCGGGGGUAGAGCACUGUUUCGGCUAGGGGGCCAUCCCGGCUUACCAACCCGAUGCAAACUACGAAUACCGAAGAAUGUUAUCACGGGAGACACACGGCGGGUGCUAACGUCCGUCGUGAAGAGGGAAACAACCCAGACCGCCAGCUAAGGUCCCAAAGUCAUGGUUAAGUGGGAAACGAUGUGGGAAGGCACAGACAGCCAGGAUGUUGGCUUAGAAGCAGCCAUCAUUUAAAGAAAGCGUAAUAGCUCACUGGUCGAGUCGGCCUGCGCGGAAGAUGUAACGGGGCUAAACCAUGCACCGAAGCUGCGGCAGCGACGCUUAUGCGUUGUUGGGUAGGGGAGCGUUCUGUAAGCCGUUGAAGGUGUCCUGUGAGGGGUGCUGGAGGUAUCAGAAGUGCGAAUGCUGACAUAAGUAACGAUAAAGCGGGUGAAAAGCCCGCUCGCCGGAAGACCAAGGGUUCCUGUCCAACGUUAAUCGGGGCAGGGUGAGUCGACCCCUAAGGCGAGGCCGAAAGGCGUAGUCGAUGGGAAACAGGUUAAUAUUCCUGUACUUGGUGUUACUGCGAAGGGGGGACGGAGAAGGCUAUGUCAGCCGGGCGACGGUUGUCCCGGUUUAAGCAUGUAGGCGGAGGUUCCAGGUAAAUCCGGUACCUUGUUAACGCUGAGGUGUGAUGACGAGGCACUACGGUGCUGAAGUGAUAAAUGCCCUGCUUCCAGGAAAAGCCUCUAAGCAUCAGGUAACACGAAAUCGUACCCCAAACCGACACAGGUGGUCAGGUAGAGAAUACCAAGGCGCUUGAGAGAACUCGGGUGAAGGAACUAGGCAAAAUGGUGCCGUAACUUCGGGAGAAGGCACGCUGAUGUGUAGGUGAAGUCCCUGCGGACGGAGCUGAAAUCAGUCGAAGAUACCAGCUGGCUGCAACUGUUUAUUAAAAACACAGCACUGUGCAAACACGAAAGUGGACGUAUACGGUGUGACGCCUGCCCGGUGCCGGAAGGUUAAUUGAUGGGGUUAGCGGCAACGCGAAGCUCUUGAUCGAAGCCCCGGUAAACGGCGGCCGUAACUAUAACGGUCCUAAGGUAGCGAAAUUCCUUGUCGGGUAAGUUCCGACCUGCACGAAUGGCGUAAUGAUGGCCAGGCUGUCUCCACCCGAGACUCAGUGAAAUUGAACUCGCUGUGAAGAUGCAGUGUACCCGCGGCAAGACGGAAAGACCCCGUGAACCUUUACUAUAGCUUGACACUGAACACUGGUCCUUGAUGUGUAGGAUAGGUGGGAGGCUUUGAAGCGUGGACGCCAGUCUGCGUGGAGCCAACCUUGAAAUACCACCCUUUAAUGGCUGGUGUUCUAACGUAGACCCGUAAUCCGGGUUGCGGACAGUGUCUGGUGGGUAGUUUGACUGGGGCGGUCUCCUCCCAAAGAGUAACGGAGGAGCACGAAGGUUGGCUAAUCCUGGUCGGACAUCAGGAGGUUAGUGCAAUGGCAUAAGCCAGCUUGACUGCGAGCGUGACGGCGCGAGCAGGUGCGAAAGCAGGUCAUAGUGAUCCGGUGGUUCUGAAUGGAAGGGCCAUCGCUCAACGGAUAAAAGGUACUCCGGGGAUAACAGGCUGAUACCGCCCAAGAGUUCAUAUCGACGGCGGUGUUUGGCACCUCGAUGUCGGCUCAUCACAUCCUGGGGCUGAAGUAGGUCCCAAGGGUAUGGCUGUUCGCCAUUUAAAGUGGUACGCGAGCUGGGUUUAGAACGUCGUGAGACAGUUCGGUCCCUAUCUGCCGUGGGCGCUGGAGAAUUGAGGGGGGCUGCUCCUAGUACGAGAGGACCGGAGUGGACGCAUCACUGGUGUUCGGGUUGUCAUGCCAAUGGCACUGCCCGGUAGCUAAAUGCGGAAAAGAUAAGUGCUGAAAGCAUCUAAGCACGAAACUUGCCCCGAGAUGAGUUCUCCCUGAGACUUUAAGUCUCCUGAAGGAACGUUGAAGACGACGACGUUGAUAGGUCGGGUGUGUAAGCGCAGCGAUGCGUUGAGCUAACCGAUACUAAUGAACCGUGAGGCUUAACCUUACAACGCCGAAGCUGUU
This 2932-nucleotide ribosomal RNA is filed under the name Enterobacter hormaechei. RNAcentral's name for it is "23S ribosomal RNA". It matches the Rfam family "Bacterial large subunit ribosomal RNA". Lineage: Bacteria; Pseudomonadati; Pseudomonadota; Gammaproteobacteria; Enterobacterales; Enterobacteriaceae. The record is from RNAcentral.